AGUUCAAUAAAUGAUAAAACGGUAUUUCAUGAAUCAAUAGAUGUGUGAAAUUGUUUAAGGUCGCUAAUGGAGCCCGAGUCUGGUGUAUUUAUCGGUCAGUUGUUGGUUGUUCUAUUUUACAGUUUUAAAUGCAGUAUGAUGUCUGAUGUUUUCAUUUCAUAGUUUCGUGUGUAUAUAUCACUGUUUUAUUGACUAUGGGUUGAAUGACUGAGAACCCGAUGUUGUGUGUUGUCUUGUUUGGCAUAAACUACUGGUUUGCAUGUUUGUGUGUGAUUUGAUGAUGGUGACUGAGGAAAAAGAGAAUAAAAGGUUAUGUGAAUUGAUAAAUAGAUAAUGUGGACAGCCUGACUAGAUAUCCUAGGAGAUGGUGGACGGACCAGGUCCGUAAGGAACCCUACCGGGAACGUGGUCUCUCAUACCGGACGGGGUAUGGAGACCUUCUGUGUUUUGGCGCCCAUACCGGACGGGGUAUGGGGACGACCCGUUUCACCCUCAUACCGGACGGGGUAUUGAGGUUCAUGAUUUUGGUGCCCAUACCGGACGGGGUAUGGGCACCACUCUGGAAUCAGGUUAU
This 574-nucleotide long non-coding RNA is filed under the name Carica papaya (papaya). RNAcentral's name for it is "long non-coding RNA (CPAP_LNC003862)". The record is from RNAcentral. Lineage: Eukaryota; Viridiplantae; Streptophyta; Magnoliopsida; Brassicales; Caricaceae.